UACGAAGGGUGCAAGCGUUACUCGGAAUUACUGGGCGUAAAGGGUGCGUAGGUGGUUUUUUAAGUCCGUUGUGAAAUCCCUGGGCUCAACCUGGGAAUGGCAGUGGAUACUGGAAAGCUAGAGUGCGGUAGAGGGUAGUGGAAUUCCCGGUGUAGCAGUGAAAUGCGUAGAUAUGCGGAGGAACACCGAUGGCGAAGGCAAUCCCCUGGACCUGUACUGACGCUCAUGCACGAAAGCGUGGGGAGCAAACAGG
This 253-nucleotide ribosomal RNA is filed under the name uncultured bacterium. Its description in RNAcentral is "partial 16S ribosomal RNA". It matches the Rfam family "Bacterial small subunit ribosomal RNA", at positions 524 to 776 of the family's 1533-position model. The record is from RNAcentral.